RNAcentral lists this ribosomal RNA (497 nucleotides) under uncultured bacterium. Its description in RNAcentral is "partial 16S ribosomal RNA". It matches the Rfam family "Bacterial small subunit ribosomal RNA", at positions 28 to 507 of the family's 1533-position model. The record is from RNAcentral.
GAUGAACGCUGGCGGCGUGCCUAAUACAUGCAAGUCGAGCGAACAGACGAGGCGCUUGCUCCUUUGACGUUUGCGACGGACGGGUGUGUAACACGUAACUAACCUACCUAUAUGACAGGGAUUACUUCGGGAAACCUGAGCUUACACCGGAUAAUAUUUCGAACCGCAUGGUUUGAUAAUGAAAGUUGGCUUUGCUAUCACUUAUAGAUCGUCCUCCGCCGUUCUUGCUAGUUGGUAACGUAACGACUUAUCAAGGCGACGUUACCUAGCAGACCUCAGAGAGUUAUCCGCCACCCCUGAUCUGAGACACGGUCCAGACUCCUACCGGAUCCAGCAGUCGGGAAUCUUCCGCAAUGGUCGGAAGCCUGCCCUACCAAUCCCGCGUGAUUGAGUAAGGGCUUCGGAUCGUAAAACUCUGUGAUUAGGGAAGAGCAAACUUGUAAGUAACUGUGCACGUCUUGACGGUACCUAAUCAGAAAGCCCCGGCUAACUACGUG